Molecule: ribosomal RNA, 525 nt
Filed under: uncultured bacterium
Lineage: Bacteria
Description: bacterial SSU rRNA
Rfam family: Bacterial small subunit ribosomal RNA
Source: RNAcentral
ACAUCCAGCGAACUUGGCAGAGAUGCCUUGGUGCCUUCGGGAACGCUGAGACAGGUGCUGCAUGGCUGUCGUCAGCUCGUGUUGUGAAAUGUUGGUUAAGUCCCGCAACGAGCGCAACCCUUUAUCCUUUGUUGCCAGCGAUUCGGUCGGGAACUCAAAGGAGACUGCCGGUGAUAAACCGGAGGAAGGUGGGGAUGACGUCAAGUCAUCAUGGCCCUUACGAGUAGGGCUACACACGUGCUACAAUGGCGCAUACAAAGAGAAGCGACCUCGCGAGAGCAAGCGGACCUCAUAAAGUGCGUCGUAGUCCGGAUCGGAGUCUGCAACUCGACUCCGUGAAGUCGGAAUCGCUAGUAAUCGUGGAUCAGAAUGCCACGGUGAAUACGUUCCCGGGCCUUGUACACACCGCCCGUCACACCAUGGGAGUGGGUUGCAAAAGAAGUAGGUAGCUUAACCUUCGGGAGGGCGCUUACCACUUUGUGAUUCAUGACUGGGGUGAAGUCGUAACAAGGUAAGCGUAGCGAG